UACGUAGGGAGCAAGCGUUGUCCGGAAUCAUUGGGCGUAAAGCGCGCGUAGGCGGCCCUGUAAGUCCGUUGUGAAAGUCAAAGGCUCAACCUUUGAAAGCCGAUGGAUACUGCAGGGCUAGAGUUCGGAAGAGGCGAGUGGAAUUCCUGGUGUAGCGGUGGAAUGCGCAGAUAUCAGGAGGAACACCAAUAGCGAAGGCAGCUCGCUGGGACGUUACUGACGCUGAGACGCGAAAGCGUGGGGAGCAAACAGG
This 253-nucleotide ribosomal RNA is filed under the name uncultured bacterium. RNAcentral's name for it is "partial 16S ribosomal RNA". It matches the Rfam family "Bacterial small subunit ribosomal RNA", at positions 524 to 776 of the family's 1533-position model. The record is from RNAcentral.